RNAcentral lists this ribosomal RNA (293 nucleotides) under Acinetobacter baumannii OIFC083. Its description in RNAcentral is "partial 16S ribosomal RNA". It matches the Rfam family "Bacterial small subunit ribosomal RNA", at positions 62 to 357 of the family's 1533-position model. The record is from RNAcentral. Lineage: Bacteria; Pseudomonadati; Pseudomonadota; Gammaproteobacteria; Moraxellales; Moraxellaceae.
UCGAGCGGGGGAAGGUAGCUUGCUACCGGACCUAGCGGCGGACGGGUGAGUAAUGCUUAGGAAUCUGCCUAUUAGUGGGGGACAACAUCUCGAAAGGGAUGCUAAUACCGCAUACGUCCUACGGGAGAAAGCAGGGGAUCUUCGGACCUUGCGCUAAUAGAUGAGCCUAAGUCGGAUUAGCUAGUUGGUGGGGUAAAGGCCUACCAAGGCGACGACCUGUAGCGGGUCUGAGAGGAUGAUCCGCCACACUGGGACUGAGACACGGCCCAGACUCCUACGGGAGGCAGCAGUGG